GGUAUGGGAUGAGCUUGCGUCCGAUUAGCUAGUUGGCGGGGCAACGGCCCACCAAGGCGACGAUCGGUAGCCGGCCUGAGAGGGCGAUCGGCCACAUUGGGACUGAGAUACGGCCCAGACUCCUACGGGAGGCAGCAGUAGGGAAUAUUGCACAAUGGGGGAAACCCUGAUGCAGCAACGCCACGUGUGGGAAGAAGCAUUUCGGUGUGUAAACCACUGUCGUGAGGGAAUAAGGCUGUUUUUCGGAACAGUUGAAUGUACCUCGAAAGGAAGCACCGGCAAACUUCGUGCCAGCAGCCGCGGUAAUACGAGGGGUGCAAGCGUUGUUCGGAAUCACUGGGCGUAAAGGGAGCGUAGGCGGAGAUGCAAGCAGUCUGUACAGUACCGGGGCCCAACCCCGGACCUGCAGACUGGACUGUGUCUCUUGGAUAGUUCAGGGGCAGGC
This 445-nucleotide ribosomal RNA is filed under the name uncultured bacterium. RNAcentral's name for it is "bacterial SSU rRNA". It matches the Rfam family "Bacterial small subunit ribosomal RNA", at positions 217 to 662 of the family's 1533-position model. The record is from RNAcentral.